RNAcentral lists this ribosomal RNA (492 nucleotides) under uncultured bacterium. RNAcentral's name for it is "bacterial SSU rRNA". It matches the Rfam family "Bacterial small subunit ribosomal RNA", at positions 28 to 480 of the family's 1533-position model. The record is from RNAcentral.
GACGAACGCUGGCGGCGUGCCUAAUACAUGCAAGUCGAACGCACUCUCGUUUAGAUUGAAGGAGCUUGCUCCUGAUUGAUAAACAUUUGAGUGAGUGGCGGACGGGUGAGUAACACGUGGGUAACCUGCCCUAAAGUGGGGGAUAACAUUUGGAAACAGAUGCUAAUACCGCAUAAAACCUAAACACCGCAUGGUGUAGGGUUGAAAGAUGGUUUCGGCUAUCACUUUAGGAUGGACCCGCGGUGCAUUAGUUAGUUGGUGAGGUAAAGGCUCCCAAGACCGUGAUGCAUAGCCGACCUGAGAGGGUAAUCGGCCACACUGGGACUGAGACACGGCCCAGACUCCUACGGGAGGCAGCAGUAGGGAAUCUUCCACAAUGGACGAAAGUCUGAUGGAGCAACGCCGCGUGAGUGAAGAAGGUUUUCGGAUCGUAAACUACUGUUGUGGUAGAAGAAUGUAUCUGAUAGUAACUGAUCAGUAGUGACGGUAUCC